Molecule: small RNA, 29 nt
Filed under: Bombyx mori (domestic silkworm)
Lineage: Eukaryota; Metazoa; Arthropoda; Insecta; Lepidoptera; Bombycidae
Description: ovarian small RNA-37055
Source: RNAcentral
UUCAUCAUAUCAGCGGAGCUACUGGUGUU